AGUGUGUCUGUGUCGUGAGUCGGUUCUCCAGCUAACGUGCAUGGAUUAGACAGCGUCCCUGCACCACAGUCACAGAAGAACCUGCCAGUGGAGAAGAAGAAAUUAGACGGUACAGCAGAGUGCAAAAAACAUGUCUCACCAGAGAAUGGGGUCGUUGGCCAAUUCACUGAAGCGUUUGCACACGCAAGCAGAGCGGCACAAGUCCUGCUCCAACAGGUACGAGAAGAUCUUCAGUACCACCUCAUCUGGGAGCUUCUCCUGCAAAUACUGUUCUGCUGGAGCUGCUAAAGGACGGAUGACCACAAAGUAGGAAAAUGUUUAAUGGACUAGGUGUGGAAGGUAGAGUAAGAUGGAAGUAACUAUGCUAGAUGAAGAUAUUAUCCAUUAACAUUCAUGUGAUAAAGAAUUUU
Cynoglossus semilaevis (tongue sole) is the source of this 410-nucleotide long non-coding RNA. RefSeq lists it as uncharacterized. The record is from RefSeq and is a predicted model, not a curated record. Lineage: Eukaryota; Metazoa; Chordata; Actinopteri; Pleuronectiformes; Cynoglossidae. The transcript has 2 exons.